RNAcentral lists this ribosomal RNA (478 nucleotides) under uncultured bacterium. RNAcentral's name for it is "partial 16S ribosomal RNA". It matches the Rfam family "Bacterial small subunit ribosomal RNA", at positions 28 to 523 of the family's 1533-position model. The record is from RNAcentral.
GACGAACGCUGGCGGCGUGCUUAACACAUGCAAGUCGAACGGUAAGGCCCUUCGGGGUACACGAGUGGCGAACGGGUGAGUAACACGUGAGCAACCUGCCCUUGACUCCGGAAUAAGCGCUCGAAAGGGCGUCUAAUACCGGAUACGACCUUCUCGGACAUCUGAGAUGGUGGAAAGCUUUUGCGGUCAAGGAUGGGCUCGCGGCCUAUCAGCUUGUUGGUGAGGUAACGGCUCACCAAGGCUUCGACGGGUAGCCGGCCUGAGAGGGCGACCGGCCACACUGGGACUGAGAUACGGCCCAGACUCCUACGGGAGGCAGCAGUGGGGAAUAUUGCACAAUGGGCGAAAGCCUGAUGCAGCAACGCCGCGUGCGGGAUGACGGCCUUCGGGUUGUAAACCGCUUUCAGUAGGGACGAAGCGCAAGUGACGGUACCUACAGAAGAAGCACCGGCCAACUACGUGCCAGCAGCCGCGGUAA